AUGAACGCUGGCGGCGUGCUUAACACAUGCAAGUCGAGCGCGAAGUUUUGAAAAGAUUCUUCGGAUGAAAUUUAAAAUGGAAAGCGGCGGACGGGUGAGUAACGCGUAGGCAACCUGCCCCAUACAAAGGGAUAGCAUUUGGAAACGAAUAUUAAUACCUUAUGAAACUUAACUAGUGCAUGCUAGGUAGGUCAAAGAUUUAUCGGUAUGGGAUGGGCCUGCGUCUGAUUAGCUAGUUGGUGAGGUAACGGCUCACCAAGGCGACGAUCAGUAGCCGACCUGGGAGGGUGAACGGCCACAUUGGAACUGAGACACGGUCCAAACUCCUACGGGAGGCAGCAGUGGGGAAUAUUGCACAAUGGGGGAAACCCUGAUGCAGCAACGCCGCGUGAACGAUGAAGGCCUUUGGGUCGUAAAGUUCUGUUCUAGGUGAUGAAAACUGACAGUAACCUAGGAGAAAGCCCCGGCUAACUCCGUG
RNAcentral lists this ribosomal RNA (478 nucleotides) under uncultured bacterium. RNAcentral's name for it is "partial 16S ribosomal RNA". It matches the Rfam family "Bacterial small subunit ribosomal RNA", at positions 29 to 507 of the family's 1533-position model. The record is from RNAcentral.